GCACAAGCGGUGGAGCAUGUGGUUUAAUUCGACGCAACGCGAAAACCUUACCUGGGCUUGACAUGGAGAGAAUCUUCUGGAAACAGAAGAGUGCCUCGUAAGAGGAGCUCUCACACAGGUGCUGCAUGGCUGUCGUCAGCUCGUGCCGUGAGGUGUUGGGUUAAGUCCCGCAACGAGCGCAACCCUCAUCUCUAGUUGCCAUCAUUAAGUUGGGCACUCUAGAGAAACUGCGCAGUUAAUGCGGAGGAAGUGGGGAUGACGUCAAGUCCUCAUGGCCCUUAUGUCCAGGGCUACACACGUGCUACAAUGGGCGGUACAAAGGGUCGCAAACCCGUAAGGGGGAGCAAAUCCACUUAAAGCCGUCCUCAGUUCGGAUUGAGGUCUGCAACUCGACCUCAUGAAGCCGGAGUUGCUAGUAAGCGCAGGUCAGCAUACUGCGUUGAAUACGUUCUCGGGCCUU
RNAcentral lists this ribosomal RNA (460 nucleotides) under uncultured Syntrophorhabdus sp. Its description in RNAcentral is "bacterial SSU rRNA". It matches the Rfam family "Bacterial small subunit ribosomal RNA", at positions 923 to 1382 of the family's 1533-position model. The record is from RNAcentral. Lineage: Bacteria; Pseudomonadati; Thermodesulfobacteriota; Syntrophorhabdia; Syntrophorhabdales; Syntrophorhabdaceae.